This 253-nucleotide ribosomal RNA is filed under the name uncultured bacterium. RNAcentral describes it as "partial 16S ribosomal RNA". It matches the Rfam family "Bacterial small subunit ribosomal RNA", at positions 524 to 776 of the family's 1533-position model. The record is from RNAcentral.
UACGUAGGGGGCGAGCGUUGUCCGGAAUUACUGGGCGUAAAGAGCUCGUAGGUGGUUUGUCGCGUUGUUCGUGAAAUCUCACGGCUUAACUGUGAGCGUGCGGGCGAUACGGGCAGACUAGAGUACUGCAGGGGAGACUGGAAUUCCUGGUGUAGCGGUGGAAUGCGCAGAUCUCAGGAGGAACACCGGUGGCGAAGGCGGGUCUCUGGGCAGUAACUGAAGCUGAGGAGCGAAAGCGUGGGGAGUGAACAGG